This 252-nucleotide ribosomal RNA is filed under the name uncultured bacterium. RNAcentral describes it as "partial 16S ribosomal RNA". It matches the Rfam family "Bacterial small subunit ribosomal RNA", at positions 524 to 776 of the family's 1533-position model. The record is from RNAcentral.
UACGGAGGAUGCGAGCGUUAUCCGGAUUUAUUGGGUUUAAAGGGUGCGUAGGCGGUCCGUUAAGUCAGCGGUAAAAUUGCGGGGCUCAACCCCGUCGAGCCGUUGAAACUGUCAGACUUGAGUUGGCGAGAAGUACGCGGAAUGCGCGGUGUAGCGGUGAAAUGCACAGAUAUCGCGCAGAACUCCGAUUGCGAAGGCAGCGUACCGGCGCCACACUGACGCUGAGGCACGAAAGCGUGGGGAUCGAACAGG